AGAGAAAGAAGAGUCUUUUAAUAAAAUCCCAAGACAAACUGAAAGUGAGGCAGGGAAGUUCAUACACUAAACAGGGCCAAGCGCUUCAACGAGGAGCGUGCAGAAAAUCUCAAAAGCAUCAAGGACUAUUUCCCAUUUCCUCCCUUUAAUAACAUCCAGAAAAAGGACCCCUCUGUCUCCACAUAAGGAGUGAAACCGUGGAAAAGCUCCUGAUUUCUACUGACAGAGGCUUCCUGUAUAAAAGAUUUUCAUCUCUUUUACAAAGGAAAAGGAGAAAAGAAACAAUCUGUGUCAUUCUGGAUAUACAAGAGGGAAGAGAUCGCUCCUCAAAGGUACAGAGUCUUCAUUUUCUUGGGAGAGCAAAAGAAAGGAAGAACUUGGAAUCGCCCACUUGCGGGGUGGGAAGGACGUGCAGAUGGAAUAUUUUUUCUCACUACAGUAAGUCAGGGAGUGGGAGAGGACAUCUCUAACCAGUCAGGAAGAAGUGAUACCUUCUGUGGACAAAGGAAGGGCUGGCUUCUGGCAUCAGGUCUCCCUUUCUCUUAAGAGGACAGACCUGUUUCCAAAAGCUAAGUCUUUUUUUCUUGAUUAUUUUCAUUGAUGCUCUCUUUGUUAAUUUGGGGGAGUAUUGUACAGUAGGAUCUAAGGGGACUGGAAAUGUCUCUUUCUCUAACCCCUAACUGGGAGGGAGUCUUCCACUCCAGUGAGAAAGGAUGCUCGAACACUUGUGAUGGGGGUUGGGAGGGGCACGCAUGGAAAAAUAUGCUUCUCUGUGCAAGAUAUUAAUUUUCUUUUUUAACAGAUGAAGUUAAGAGUAACAGCAACAGCUUACCAAAAGCUUACUAUGUAAUUAGUAUUUACACAAAUGCUCCCUUAGCCCGCAUGACAAUUUUAAGAAAACAGAACCCAAAUUGGAGAUGGACUGAGAUUGAGACAAGUUAAACAAAUAGUCAAGGUCACAAAGAUGUUAAGUGAGAGACCCAGGUUUGGUAACUAUCACACUCCAAAAGCCACGCUCUUAAUUGUGCAAGGGAAAGGAGCUCACUGCACACCAAGAGGCUUAAAGGGAAGAAGAGAAGCGAGGCUCCCUCUGUGGACAUCGCGAUGGGAGAGGGAGAAAGCUUGACUUCUGAUACCAUAAAGUAAAUUUUCAGGGUCUUCCUCUCCGUAUCUUGGGGUACACGUGAAAAAUAAAGAAGGAAGGAUAAGUUCAGAAUGCCCCUCGAACCCCGGGAGUGGGUCUCCCUCUGCUGACCAACGGAUGAGCGCUAAGAAAGAGCGUACGCCUCCGA
Cercocebus atys (sooty mangabey) is the source of this 1292-nucleotide long non-coding RNA. RefSeq lists it as uncharacterized. Lineage: Eukaryota; Metazoa; Chordata; Mammalia; Primates; Cercopithecidae. The transcript is spliced from 2 exons. The record is from RefSeq and is a predicted model, not a curated record.